UGUGCUAUGAAGAGGUAAGGCACCAAUUGGUGUUUUUUGGGCAGUGGUUUAUCCGUGAGCCCAAUUAAUUAACGACUUCUCCUUCCACUGAGCAUU
Molecule: small nucleolar RNA, 96 nt
Filed under: Olea europaea subsp. europaea
Lineage: Eukaryota; Viridiplantae; Streptophyta; Magnoliopsida; Lamiales; Oleaceae
Description: Small nucleolar RNA Z152/R70/R12/
Rfam family: Small nucleolar RNA Z152/R70/R12/
About the family: Z152 is a member of the C/D class of snoRNA which contain the C (UGAUGA) and D (CUGA) box motifs.
Source: Rfam by way of RNAcentral